GGCCGUAUCAUGCUGAAAUAUCGGUUCCCGUACGAUCAAAGAAUUUAAGCAAUGUCAAACCUGGUCAGUACCAAGAUGGGUGACCGCUUGGGAAUGCCACGUGCUGUAA
Acanthosepion pharaonis is the source of this 109-nucleotide non-coding RNA. The record is from the annotation of a GenBank genome assembly. NCBI's taxonomy places the organism in Eukaryota, Metazoa, Mollusca, Cephalopoda, Sepiida, Sepiidae.